UGGGGAAUAUUGCACAAUGGGCGCAAGCCUGAUGCAGCCAUGCCGCGUGUAUGAAGAAGGCCUUCGGGUUGUAACGUACUUUCAGUCGGGAGGAAGGUGUCAAGGUUAAUAACCUUGGCAAUUGACGUUACCGACAGAAGAAGCACCGGCUAACUCCGUGCCAGCAGCCGCGGUAAUACGGAGGGCGCGAGCGUUGUCCGGAAUUAUUGGGCGUAAAGGGCUUGUAGGUGGCUGGUUGCGUCUGUCGUGAAAGCUCAUGGCUUAACUGUUGGUUUGCGGUGGGUACGGGCUGGCUUGAGUGCAGUAGGGGAGGCUGGAAUUCCUGGUGUAGCGGUGGAAUGCGCAGAAAUCAGGAGGAAUACCGGUGGCGAAGGCGGGUCUCUGGGCUGUUACUGACACUGAGGAGCGAAAGCAUGGGGAGCGAACAGG
RNAcentral lists this ribosomal RNA (429 nucleotides) under Chloroflexota bacterium. Its description in RNAcentral is "Chloroflexi bacterium partial 16S ribosomal RNA". It matches the Rfam family "Bacterial small subunit ribosomal RNA", at positions 355 to 776 of the family's 1533-position model. Lineage: Bacteria; Bacillati; Chloroflexota. The record is from RNAcentral.